Molecule: ribosomal RNA, 253 nt
Filed under: uncultured bacterium
Lineage: Bacteria
Description: partial 16S ribosomal RNA
Rfam family: Bacterial small subunit ribosomal RNA
Source: RNAcentral
UACGUAGGGUGCGAGCGUUAUUCGGAAUUACUGGGCGUAAAGCGUGCGCAGGCGGUCUGUUAUGUCUGAUGUGAAAGCCCCGGGCUCAACCUGGGAAUGGCAUUGGAAACUGGCAGGCUCGAGUUUGGCAGAGGGGGGUGGAAUUCCGCGUGUAGCAGUGAAAUGCGUAGAGAUGCGGAGGAACACCGAUGGCGAAGGCAGCCCCCUGGGCUAAGACUGACGCUCAGGCACGAAAGCGUGGGGAGCAAACAGG